Molecule: long non-coding RNA, 221 nt
Organism: Balaenoptera ricei (Rice's whale)
Lineage: Eukaryota; Metazoa; Chordata; Mammalia; Artiodactyla; Balaenopteridae
Exons: 3
Source: RefSeq, a predicted model, not a curated record
AGGAGACUUCCGAUGGCUUUGGGGACAGCAAGAAACACAGGUUAGUUCACAGACCCAGCCAUUGGAGACCCAGGAGAGCAGAAGGAAAGUCUUCCCUCCCCUAUGGUUUCCGGCAACGGGGAUGAGAUCUCAUUGGCUGGAACGUUCUGCCCACUCUGGAGGCAGCAAAAGAUCUCUUGCCACUCAACUGCUAACCUGAAUCUUCUCGCCACAGCCAACCA